CUUCGGACCUCGCGCCAUUAGAUGAGCCUAGGUCGGAUUAGCUAGUUGGUGAGGUAAUGGCUCACCAAGGCGACGAUCCGUAACUGGUCUGAGAGGAUGAUCAGUCACACUGGAACUGAGACACGGUCCAGACUCCUACGGGAGGCAGCAGUGGGGAAUAUUGGAACAAUGGGCGAAAGCCUGAUCCAGCCAUGCCGCGUGUGUGAAGAAGGUCUUCGGAUUGUAAAGCACUUUAAGUGGGAGGAAGGGUAGUAACCUAAUACGUUGCUACUUUGACGUUACCGACAGAAUAAGCACCGGCUAACUUCGUG
RNAcentral lists this ribosomal RNA (311 nucleotides) under uncultured bacterium. RNAcentral describes it as "bacterial SSU rRNA". It matches the Rfam family "Bacterial small subunit ribosomal RNA", at positions 202 to 507 of the family's 1533-position model. The record is from RNAcentral.